AUUUAAAUAGCUUAAAAUAAAAGUUUAAUAUUGAAAAUAUUAAGAUAAUUCAAAAUUUUUAAAUA
RNAcentral lists this transfer RNA (65 nucleotides) under Lasioglossum lativentre. Its description in RNAcentral is "tRNA-Phe". The record is from RNAcentral. Lineage: Eukaryota; Metazoa; Arthropoda; Insecta; Hymenoptera; Halictidae.